Molecule: long non-coding RNA, 1581 nt
Filed under: Medicago truncatula (barrel medic)
Lineage: Eukaryota; Viridiplantae; Streptophyta; Magnoliopsida; Fabales; Fabaceae
Description: long non-coding RNA (MTRU_LNC007209)
Source: RNAcentral
UUAUGCAUCUAACGCUGCCUAAUUUCAUAACAACGUCUGUCUAAUUUAUUAUAAGAAAGGGAUAAUAUUUUACUCUAAUUUAUUUUAACCAAUAUUGUUUUUAUAGAUUAGAUAAGCUCUUUUAGUACCAUUGACACUUUUGGCAUGAACAUAAUGGUACCAUGAAGUUUACCUCUUUUGUUACUAUACAAGCUUCACACUUCCUUGGUGAUGCAAGCUUUCUUUUUAUUUCAAUUUUCUGACAUUCUGUAUUUUAUCUUUACUCUCAGCACAGGUUUCUCAAGCAUUCAGCAGUAUGUGCUGAUUAUGUCCUGUUACUGCAUAUGUUCUAUCAUUACUAAUGCUUAAUAUCAGAGGUUUGGUGACAGUCUGUAACUAAAAUCGAGGAACUUCUUAUGCAAACAAGCCUUUAAAAAAAUAUAGAAAAUGAACAGAUGUAUUGGAUGUAAUCUUCUAGCCAUCUGUCAUAACUAUGUGAACAUAUUUGAAGGUAGUAAUUGUUGAAUCUGUGUUAUUAAUGGUGUUCUUGAAUCAAUUAUUGAUGCAUGUAAACUCUUCUUACUUAGCUUCAUUUUAUAUUUAACUCUAAUGAUUAUUGUCUAUGAUUCAAGACAGUCUUCUUUUCCAAUUAAUUCUGUAUCAAUGGAGAAUUUCUUUAGAGCAAGCAAAUAAAGAAAAAUCAUUUAAGAUUAUACUUUUAUCCAUCGUAAUAAUCACUGCAAGAAGCUCAGGCCAUUUCUUAUUUAAGAGCUAUACUGCCUGCUGCAAGUUUAUGAAUUGUACUGCGUGCUGUUCCCUUUCUUAUUUUAUCCAUUUUCAUAUAAGUAUUCUUGGUGGACUUAUUUUCGGUUCUGAUUCAAAACAGGUAAGCUUAGGCCAACUCUAGGAGCAGAAAGGUUUGCCUUCAAUUCCAAGCAUAAUGAUAUAUUGUUUUUUGAUUCUUAGCUUUAAAUGUGAUGCAAUGCUAAUUUUAUUACUACUGAAUAAUGACCAAAGGCAACUAUAGUCUGAUAACUUCUGAAAUUAUAAUGACAUGAUAAUAACCAAACCGUCAUUGAGACUACAUCGUGUAGCAAAUUAAGUGACAAGCGGACCGUUGCCAUUGUAGGCCCUACCAAGCUUGGAACUGUAUUGGGGGAUAACUCAACCUACAAAACACGGAAAGUGAAGUGCACUAAGGUUGAGAAGGAUUAGUUUGAAAAGCUAUGUCUCUGCUGUUUUCUUAUUUUCGUUGUUGCCGUUUUGGUUCAAUUGUAUUUGUAUUGUGUUAUCAGCCAGUUAUUUUAUUUAUUUGGUUUGUUCUUGGUGAUAUACUAAAAUGUUUUGCUGUUCCCAGUUUACUGAAUUCAAACUUCUCAAAAGUAUUAAUGAAUUAGUUUUUGCCAAUUAAUCAUAUUUAAUACUGGCUACUCUAAUUAUUUGGAUUGUUGCAGUUGGUGUGUUUUCUGUUAAACAAAGUUAGGAGUAAUAAUAGUGUGAGAGAAACCAAUUCAUGUGAUUGUCGGUUUCAUGUUUCUAGCUAUUUUGAUCCUCUGAGUGUUUGUAAAUAGAUUUCACCUUUGUAAUAUUUAUAUAUUGGCU